This 116-nucleotide ribosomal RNA is filed under the name Lepisosteus oculatus (spotted gar). The record is from RNAcentral. Lineage: Eukaryota; Metazoa; Chordata; Actinopteri; Semionotiformes; Lepisosteidae.
ACCAGCAGCCAUAUCACUCUGCAACUCACAACUGGUAAUGCACUGAAGCUAAGCAGGUGUGAGCCUGGUUGGUACCUGGAUGGGAGAUCUCCUGGGAAAAAAUAAUGUUGCUGAUG